UGGCUCAGUGGUUAAGAGCACUGACUGCUUUUCCAGAGAUCCUGGGUUCAAUUCCCAG
RNAcentral lists this transfer RNA (58 nucleotides) under Mus musculus (house mouse). It matches the Rfam family "tRNA", at positions 8 to 63 of the family's 71-position model. From Rfam's summary of the family: Transfer RNA (tRNA) molecules are approximately 80 nucleotides in length. Their secondary structure includes four short double-helical elements and three loops (D, anti-codon, and T loops). Further hydrogen bonds mediate the characteristic L-shaped molecular structure. tRNAs have two regions of fundamental functional importance: the anti-codon, which is responsible for specific mRNA codon recognition, and the 3' end, to which the tRNAs corresponding amino acid is attached (by aminoacyl-tRNA synthetases). tRNAs cope with the degeneracy of the genetic code in two manners: having more than one tRNA (with a specific anti-codon) for a particular amino acid; and 'wobble' base-pairing, i.e. permitting non-standard base-pairing at the 3rd anti-codon position. Lineage: Eukaryota; Metazoa; Chordata; Mammalia; Rodentia; Muridae. RNAcentral also lists the same sequence under 1 other name. The record is from Rfam by way of RNAcentral.